Molecule: ribosomal RNA, 1143 nt
Filed under: uncultured bacterium
Lineage: Bacteria
Description: bacterial SSU rRNA
Rfam family: Bacterial small subunit ribosomal RNA (bases 197-1143)
Source: RNAcentral
CAUUUAUAAGGAUACUGCCUCUUUUUCCCAGAAAGAGAGUCUCGAGUAAGGUAACCAGGAUCCCCCAUGACGAGGUAAAACGGCCCCACGAUAUGUUUGCUUUCUAUAGGAGCAAUGGCCCUAGAGCAUUUCGAGCGCCCCCAGAUGGAGAUAUGCCGAGAUCCCUCGCGAUCCUUAGUCCAUGCCAGCAGCCGGGUAAUCGAAGGUCAAGCGUAUUCGAAUUACUGGCUAAGCGCGGUAGGUGUGUAAGUGGAUUGAAGCCUGGCUCACUAGAACUGCAUCCAAACUACUCACUAGAGUACGAUAGAGGGAGUAGAAUCAUAGGUAGCGGUGGAAUGCGUAGAUAUAUGAAGAAUACAGUGGCGAAGGCGGCCUCCUGGAUCUGUACUGACACUGAGUGCGAAAGCGUGGGUAGCGAACAGGAUUAGAUACCCUGGUAGUCACGCCGUAAACGAUGACAACUAGCUGUUGGGAGACAAUGUCUUUCAGUGGCGCAGCUAACGUUUUAAGUUGUCCGCCUGGGGAGUACGGCCGCAAGGCUAAAACUCAAAUGAAUUGACGGGGACCCGCACAAGCGGUGGAGCAUGUGGUUUAAUUCGAUGCAACGCGAAAAACCUUACCUACUCUUGACAUACUUGGAAGCUCUUGUAAUGAGAGUGUGCCUUUUGGAACCAAGAUACAGGUGCUGCAUGGCUGUCGUCAGCUCGUGUCGUGAGAUGUUCCGUUAAGUCGGAUAACGAGCGCAACCCUUACCCUUAUUUGCCAGCGAUUCGGUCGGGAACUAUAAGGGGACUGCCGGUGAUAAACCGGAGGAAGGUGAGGACGACGUCAAGUCAUCAUGGCCCUUACGAGUAGGGCUACACACGUGCUACAAUGGGGAAUACAGACGGACGCUAAGCCGCGAGGUGGUGCUAAUCCUAGAAAGUUUCUCGUAGUCCGGAUUGGAGUCUGCAACUCGACUCCAUGAAGUCGGAAUCGCUAGUAAUCGCGGAUCAGCAUGCCGCGGUGAAUACGUUCUCGGGUCUUGUACACACCGCCCGUCACACCAUGGAAGUGGAUUGCACCAGAAGUAGAUAGUCUAACCUUCGGGAGGGCGUUUACCACGGUGUGCUUCAUGACUGGGGUGAAGUCGUAACAAGGUAA